GCAAACUUGGUCAUUUAGAGGAAGUAAAAGUCGUAACAAGGUUUCCGUAGGUGAACCUGCGGAAGGAUCAUUAAAGAGGAUCAAGGUGCCAAGUUAGAGUUUAGCUGGCAUCCCUCCCCACCCGUGUUUACUUGACCUCUCUGUUGCCUCGGCGGGCCCGCUACCAUCUUGUGUUACAAGGAGGUGGCUGCUAGGGUGUCUGACGCCUUUUUGCUCGCGUCCGCCAGGGGAUCUUCUGAACCCAUUGUGAGUUGUGUCCUGUCUGAGUGGCUUAAAAAUAUCAAAACUUUCAACAAAGGAUCUCUUGGUUCCGGCAUCGAUGAAGAACGCAGC
This 333-nucleotide unclassified non-coding RNA is filed under the name uncultured fungus. RNAcentral describes it as "partial contains small subunit ribosomal RNA, internal transcribed spacer 1, and 5.8S ribosomal RNA". The stretch from base 1 to 73 matches the Rfam family "Eukaryotic small subunit ribosomal RNA", at positions 1759 to 1831 of the family's 1831-position model. The record is from RNAcentral. Lineage: Eukaryota; Fungi.